RNAcentral lists this non-coding RNA (30 nucleotides) under Homo sapiens (human). The record is from RNAcentral. Lineage: Eukaryota; Metazoa; Chordata; Mammalia; Primates; Hominidae.
UUCUCUGUGAGUCACGUGAGGGCAGAAUCU